UGAGUAACCUGCCCUUAACUCUGGGGAUAAGCCUGGGAAACUGGGGUCUAAUACCGGAUAUGACUCCUCAUCGCAUGGUGGGGGGUGGAAAGCUUUUUGUGGUUUUGGAUGGACUGCGGCCUAUCAGCUUGUUGGUGAGGUAAUGGCUCACCAAGGCGACGACGGGUAGCCGGCCUGAGAGGGUGACCGGCCACACUGGGACUGAGACACGGCCCAGACUCCUACGGGAGGCAG
This 234-nucleotide ribosomal RNA is filed under the name uncultured bacterium. Its description in RNAcentral is "partial 16S ribosomal RNA". It matches the Rfam family "Bacterial small subunit ribosomal RNA", at positions 118 to 351 of the family's 1533-position model. The record is from RNAcentral.